ACUGUUUGUCCUAAAGGACAGGAAGAUGGAUUCAAUGAAAGACGAAUAAUAUUUGCUUAGAAACGUUCCUGUUGUUUUUCCGUACUUUUUGGUUUGCGUUGUUUACUCUUUGCAAAACACUGAUUGUCCUCUGCUCUUUACAUUUUUGAGGUUCAAUGACAAUUUGCCUCUUGAGUUCCACAUAACCAUGAACUGCUGUGCAUAAUUGCUCAUACCCCACUAAGUUCAUAUGUAUAAAUCGGGUGGGUUGGAGUUUGCUGUGAAAGUCCUGAAAAAACAUGGAGGACGAUGACAGAUUAGAUAGUGCAGAGGAAAAUAAUAUAUGGUGCAUCUGGCCUAUCCCAGUUUGCCAUUUUGAAAAAGAAACAAAAUCUAUCUGUUAAUUUGAGCGUAUGUUGAAUAUAACAAUACUCAGUUUGGUGCACAUUGCUGAUUUUUAUGGUGGUAUGUGAUAAGAUUUCUGAACUUCAAUUUUACCGUAGAGCACAAAAGAAUAUAAUAAGUUAUAUGUAUGAGAUCAGGUUCGUUUGUGAUUCUAAAAUAGGGACCUAAUUUAUUUGUCUUGCUCACUGUAAUUAACUAGAAACAUAUAUUGCUAAUAAUUGGAAUUUCUGUUGAAACUCAGCUCAAGCUUAAUAAACAUUGAGAGCAGUGAUGUUUUCUUUUAUUGUCGAGAGUGCGGAAGAAAUCUGAAUAAUCAAAUUUCAAGCUCAAAUUCCAUAUUGUUUUCAGGUGUAUGAAACACUUCCUUUCAAAUUCAAAAGCAGCUAUGUUGGGUAUUUGAGAAUGGUGGCAUCACGACAUGAGGAUACGACUCUCUGGCAAUUGGUUAUACUCCCUUCUCUAUUUUUUAUUGCUGGAUAUAUUGACGUAUAAUGUGUGGGCAAUUUUUUUGCUUGGUUCUUCAGGCUGCAUUGCAAUAGCUGGGGAGGUGUUGGAGAGGAACGGGAAUUGUACAGCUGCAGUCUCCUGUAAUCAUCCUCCCUAAACUUCCGUAUGUUAUUUUUGCAUUUGUUGUACUGAACUGAAAUUUAAUAUUUGUAGUCCUCGGGUUUUAAUUAAUUUGGAAACCUAAAUUUUGUACAUCUUUGUAACAUCCCAAAUUUUUAAA
Long non-coding RNA from Lolium perenne, 1111 nucleotides. RefSeq lists it as uncharacterized. Lineage: Eukaryota; Viridiplantae; Streptophyta; Magnoliopsida; Poales; Poaceae. The record is from RefSeq and is a predicted model, not a curated record.